AGAGCUGAUCAUCUUUCUUAAAAAACAACCAAUAAUAGUAAAGAAGACACAAGACUUACUGCAAAAAUAUUUUUCCAAGCAAUCAGGAAAGAAAAUUGCCUCUAUUCUCAAGUCAGAUGCACUUCAAGCAAAAAAGUGAUCUCAAUGUAGAGUUUAUGGGUUUGCACUUCUAAACUUUAACAUUCCUUCAGUUCUCUC
This is a long non-coding RNA of Pipistrellus kuhlii (Kuhl's pipistrelle), 198 nucleotides long. RefSeq lists it as uncharacterized. The record is from RefSeq and is a predicted model, not a curated record. The transcript is spliced from 3 exons. NCBI's taxonomy places the organism in Eukaryota, Metazoa, Chordata, Mammalia, Chiroptera, Vespertilionidae.